CAAAUCCCUAAUUUUUUAACCAAAAAUCCCUUUCUCUCUCUCGCGCGACUGUGAGCACGGUAGACGAUGGCGUCGAGCGACGGGGUUAAGGAGCCUCACUCUUUUGUUUCUCACUCCGUUGGCUUUCCCUCUGCUGCUCUCAUUCCAGUGGCGAAGGAGCUGCUCAGGGACCACCGCAGCCAUUAAUAGCAGGCUCGAAGCUUUCAGCUUCAAGAACAUCGGUCCGCUCAGAUUCGCAUGAUUGAAGAGACUCUUCGAUUCGCCGGUGUUCCUGGUGAUUACAUCUGUGGCGGGUGGAUUUUGCUGCAUUCGUUCUUGGCGCAGAAUCCCUUGGACUUUGCCUGUCGAAGCCCUAGGGGUUACUAGAGAACAUGGACAAGGAUAGAAUCAAAAGGCUCGUACGGUUGAAACCUCCAACUGAAGUCUGAAGCGGAAUCUCCUCAACCCCUCUUAUCUAUUGAAAGAGGACAGUUGGGUCAAGGCUGUGUAUCAUUUUUGCAUGUCAUGGUUGGUGUAUUAUGAAACUCCAUGAACUUUUCUGUUCCUAUGCAUGAUUUUUUGGUGUUUAGAAACAGUUAUUGCAAUGCUCUUUUGUGUGUAUUUCUCACUUCAAAACCUGAAUUUGGGUUGAUGCUCUAUUUUAAUGUAUGUUUCUAUGAAAUACCGUGACCGUAUUGUUUAAGAUUUUGGACUCUAUGAAUUGGGAUGUUUCUUCUGUAUUUAAACCACUUCCACUGUAACCCUAACAUCCAUGACUUCCUAGAAUGGAACAGAAUAUUUUUAGUACUAGUUAGAGGCUGCAGCUAUUGCCAAAGCAUGGGAGGUCCAAAACAAGUGCUUUGACCAGUUGUGCAGCACAACUGAUUGAAGCACUAGUUGUAAUAACCUCUCUUGCUUCAGCUAUAGUCAUGGCUUUAUUUAGAGCAUACUCUUUAUACAUAAGCCAUCCAAACCAUUUAUAGAGAUUUCUAGAAGGCCUAAGCAUGACUCCCCUGUUGAAAUAUGUUUUGCCUCGCAUAGAAUUGUCUGCAUGACUUUUUACUUUUUGAAAGAACAAUCUUAUUUCUCAACAACCUCAAAGUUGGUACAGGAAGGUUGCACUUUAGACAUUAUUUUACUAGAUUGUAGAACUCUAGGUAGGUAAGUUAUUGAAAUUUUGUGGUAUUAUGGGUAGAUUAGGUGUAGUGGACAUCUCAAGUAUUGAAGAUUUUUUGCACUUUUUAUCAUGUACAACUGGAACCUCUGAAAAGUAAAAAAUUUGAUUAAAUUUCUUUUCUCCUAAUUUGUAGCUAUUCAUGAUGCCAAUUUACUCUUUAUGACUUGUAUAUCUUAAUCGUUUUGAAAUGCACAACUUUUGCCACUAUGUAUAGAUGCAUGCAAGUAAUCUUGGCCAUAUGUUUCAAAACCAGUGUUUAGUGUGGUAUUAACAGAGUGAGUUAUGUUGUUUUCAGAACCAGUGUUUUGUGUAUAUGUGUUUAUAUAUGUGUGUGUGUGUGUGUGUGUGCCUCUAUCAUAAAGAAUAAACCAAGAAGUAAUUUUACAUUGCAGAAUCCUUUCAGCCCCCAUAUGCAAGACCAUUCUCUAUUAUUUUCUUUCCCUUUUGUCUUCUUUUCUUUGUCUUAAAAAAAA
Non-coding RNA from Camellia sinensis, 1629 nucleotides. Lineage: Eukaryota; Viridiplantae; Streptophyta; Magnoliopsida; Ericales; Theaceae. The record is from RefSeq and is a predicted model, not a curated record.